AGAGUUUGAUCAUGGCUCAGAACGAACGCUGGCGGCAGGCCUAACACAUGCAAGUCGAGCGCAGUCCUUCGGGACCGAGCGGCGGACGGGUUAGUAACGCGUGGGAAUAUACCCUUCACUACGGAAUAGCCUCGGGAAACUGAGAGUAAUACCGUAUACGCCCUUCGGGGGAAAGAUUUAUCGGUGAAGGAUUAGCCCGCGUAAGAUUAGAUAGUUGGUGGGGUAAUGGCCUACCAAGUCUACGAUCUUUAGCUGGUUUUAGAGGAUGAUCAGCAACACUGGGACUGAGACACGGCCCAGACUCCUACGGGAGGCAGCAGUGGGGAAUCUUGGACAAUGGGCGCAAGCCUGAUCCAGCCAUGCCGCGUGUGUGAUGAAGGCCUUAGGGUCGUAAAGCACUUUCGCCAGAGAUGAUAAUGACAGUAUCUGGUAAAGAAACCCCGGCUAACUCCGUGCCAGCAGCCGCGGUAAUACGGAGGGGGUUAGCGUUGUUCGGAAUUACUGGGCGUAAAGCGCACGUAGGCGGACUAGUCAGUCAGAGGUGAAAUCCCAGGGCUCAACCCUGGAACUGCCUUUGAUACUGCUAGUCUUGAGUUCGAGAGAGGUGAGUGGAAUUCCGAGUGUAGAGGUGAAAUUCGUAGAUAUUCGGAGGAACACCAGUGGCGAAGGCGGCUCACUGGCUCGAUACUGACGCUGAGGUGCGAAAGUGUGGGGAGCAAACAGGAUUAGAUACCCCGGUAGUCCACACCGUAAACGAUGAAUGCCAGUCGUCGGGCAGUAUACUGUUCGGUGACACACCUAACGGAUUAAGCAUUCCGCCUGGGGAGUACGGUCGCAAGAUUAAAACUCAAAGGAAUUGACGGGGGCCCGCGCAAGCG
RNAcentral lists this ribosomal RNA (878 nucleotides) under uncultured Rhodobacterales bacterium. RNAcentral's name for it is "bacterial SSU rRNA". It matches the Rfam family "Bacterial small subunit ribosomal RNA", at positions 8 to 931 of the family's 1533-position model. The record is from RNAcentral. Lineage: Bacteria; Pseudomonadati; Pseudomonadota; Alphaproteobacteria; Rhodobacterales.